GGUCACGUAGCCAAGUUGGUAAGGCAGAGGUCUGCAAAACCUCUAUGCGCGGGUUCGAGUCCCGCCGUGACCU
RNAcentral lists this transfer RNA (73 nucleotides) under Candidatus Dojkabacteria bacterium. RNAcentral's name for it is "tRNA-Cys". It matches the Rfam family "tRNA". Rfam says of the family: Transfer RNA (tRNA) molecules are approximately 80 nucleotides in length. Their secondary structure includes four short double-helical elements and three loops (D, anti-codon, and T loops). Further hydrogen bonds mediate the characteristic L-shaped molecular structure. tRNAs have two regions of fundamental functional importance: the anti-codon, which is responsible for specific mRNA codon recognition, and the 3' end, to which the tRNAs corresponding amino acid is attached (by aminoacyl-tRNA synthetases). tRNAs cope with the degeneracy of the genetic code in two manners: having more than one tRNA (with a specific anti-codon) for a particular amino acid; and 'wobble' base-pairing, i.e. permitting non-standard base-pairing at the 3rd anti-codon position. The record is from RNAcentral.